RNAcentral lists this ribosomal RNA (343 nucleotides) under bacterium enrichment culture clone ALO1_GLFRUDD03HDSFI. RNAcentral describes it as "bacterial SSU rRNA". It matches the Rfam family "Bacterial small subunit ribosomal RNA", at positions 9 to 349 of the family's 1533-position model. The record is from RNAcentral.
GAGUUUGAUCUUGGCUCAGAUUGAACGCUGGCGGCAUGCCUUACACAUGCAAGUCGAACGGCAGCACGGGAGCUUGCUCCUGGUGGGCGAGUGGCGAACGGGUGAGUAAUGCAUCGGAACGUAUCCUGGAGUGGGGGAUAACGUAGCGAAAGUUACGCUAAUACCGCAUAUUCUGUGAGCAGGAAAGCGGGGGUACCUUCGGGCCUCGCGCUCUUGGAGCGGCCGAUGUCGGAUUAGCUAGUUGGUGAGGUAAAGGCGUCACCAAGGCGACGAUCCGUAGCAGGUCUGAGAGGAUGAUCUGCCACACUGGAACUGAGACACGGUCCAGACUCCUACGGGAGGC